GCACUACUGAGGAGUCCCAUACUAGGACGAAACGGCCGUCCACUGC
Molecule: non-coding RNA, 46 nt
Filed under: Schistosoma bovis
Lineage: Eukaryota; Metazoa; Platyhelminthes; Trematoda; Strigeidida; Schistosomatidae
Also listed under: 1 other name
Source: RNAcentral